This 85-nucleotide transfer RNA is filed under the name Paracoccaceae bacterium. RNAcentral describes it as "Rhodobacteraceae bacterium (freshwater metagenome) tRNA-Leu". It matches the Rfam family "tRNA". Rfam says of the family: Transfer RNA (tRNA) molecules are approximately 80 nucleotides in length. Lineage: Bacteria; Pseudomonadati; Pseudomonadota; Alphaproteobacteria; Rhodobacterales; Paracoccaceae. The record is from RNAcentral.
GCGGGUGUGGCGGAACUGGUAGACGCACCAGAUUUAGGUUCUGGCGCCGCAAGGCGUGGGGGCUCAAGUCCCUCCACCCGCACCA